RNAcentral lists this small nuclear RNA (132 nucleotides) under Erinaceus europaeus (western European hedgehog). Its description in RNAcentral is "U4 spliceosomal RNA". It matches the Rfam family "U4 spliceosomal RNA". From Rfam's summary of the family: U4 small nuclear RNA (U4 snRNA) is a component of the major U2-dependent spliceosome. The structure of U4 snRNA from yeast and human has been reported. Lineage: Eukaryota; Metazoa; Chordata; Mammalia; Eulipotyphla; Erinaceidae. The record is from Rfam by way of RNAcentral.
ACCUUUGCACAGUGGCAGUAUCGUAGCCAAUGAGGUUUAUCCAAGGCGCAAUUAUUGCUAAUUGAAAACUUUUCUACUACCUUAAAUUUUAUUAGCAUUUCCACUUUUAAAACUGUUUUUUUCUUGUAAGAA